RNAcentral lists this transfer RNA (85 nucleotides) under Felis catus (domestic cat). It matches the Rfam family "tRNA". Rfam says of the family: Transfer RNA (tRNA) molecules are approximately 80 nucleotides in length. Lineage: Eukaryota; Metazoa; Chordata; Mammalia; Carnivora; Felidae. The record is from Rfam by way of RNAcentral. RNAcentral also lists the same sequence under 2 other names.
GCCUGGGUGGCUCAGUCGGUUAAGCAUCUGACUUCAGCUCAGGUCAUGAUCUCACGGUUCGUGGGUUCAAGCCCCACUUCAGACU